CACACAUACCAUAUAAAAAACUACAUCAUGAACAAGGAUUUGCUAAGAAGAGUCUUGGUGUUGAUGAAUUCAAAGCAUACUUUUCUGGCCUUGUGUGCUCUUCGUUUUAUGAGGCGAAUAAUUGGCCUUAAGGAUGAGUUUUAUAAUCGUUACAUCACCAAAGGAAAUCUUUUUGAACCAGUUAUAAAUGCCCUUUUGGAUAAUGGAACUCGGUACAAUCUAUUAAAUUCAGCUGUUAUUGAAUUGUUUGAAUUUAUAAGAGUGGUAAGUUUAUGAUCUGCUAAGAUCUCUUAGUAAUCAUACGUAAACAAGUGAUUUUAAAUAAAAUAGUUGUAUGUAAUCAAAUUGAUUUAUUAUUUUCCUGAAGUUUAUUCUGUGUGUCUUAGAAUCUGUGUUUCUUAUAAUCUAUUUCUAAUAAACUGGAAUUUU
RNAcentral lists this long non-coding RNA (429 nucleotides) under Rattus norvegicus (Norway rat). Its description in RNAcentral is "long non-coding RNA NONRATT009652". The record is from RNAcentral. Lineage: Eukaryota; Metazoa; Chordata; Mammalia; Rodentia; Muridae.